RNAcentral lists this ribosomal RNA (1371 nucleotides) under uncultured bacterium. RNAcentral describes it as "bacterial SSU rRNA". It matches the Rfam family "Bacterial small subunit ribosomal RNA". The record is from RNAcentral.
GAAUUCGCCCUUAGAGUUUGAUCCUGGCUCAGGAUGAACGCUGGCGGCGUGCCUAACACAUGCAAGUCGAGCGAUCUUCUUCGGAAGAGAGCGGCGGACGGGUGAGUAACGCGUGGGUAACCUGCCCUGUACACACGGAUAACAUACCGAAAGGUAUGCUAAUACGGGAUAACAUAAGAAAUUCGCAUGUUUUUCUUAUCAAAGCUCCGGCGGUACAGGAUGGACCCGCGUCUGAUUAGCUAGUUGGUAAGGUAACGGCUUACCAAGGCGACGAUCAGUAGCCGGACUGAGAGGUUGAUCGGCCACAUUGGGACUGAGACACGGCCCAGACUCCUACGGGAGGCAGCAGUGGGGAAUAUUGCACAAUGGAGGAAACUCUGAUGCAGCGAUGCCGCGUGAGGGAAGAAGGUUUUAGGAUUGUAAACCUCUGUCUUCAGGGACGAAAAAAGACGGUACCUGAGGAGGAAGCUCCGGCUAACUACGUGCCAGCAGCCGCGGUAAUACGUAGGGAGCGAGCGUUGUCCGGAAUUACUGGGUGUAAAGGGAGCGUAGGCGGGAUCGCAAGUCAGAUGUGAAAACUAUGGGCUUAACCCAUAAACUGCAUUUGAAACUGUGGUUCUUGAGUGAAGUAGAGGUAAGCGGAAUUCCUAGUGUAGCGGUGAAAUGCGUAGAUAUUAGGAGGAACAUCAGUGGCGAAGGCGGCUUACUGGGCUUUAACUGACGCUGAGGCUCGAAAGCGUGGGGAGCAAACAGGAUUAGAUACCCUGGUAGUCCACGCCGUAAACGAUGAUUACUAGGUGUGGGGGGACUGACCCUUUCCGUGCCGCAGCAAACGCAAUAAGUAAUCCACCUGGGGAGUACGACCGCAAGGUUGAAACUCAAAGGAAUUGACGGGGGCCCGCACAAGCAGUGGAGUAUGUGGAUUAAUUCGAAGCAACGCGAAGAACCUUACCAGGUCUUGACAUCGUAUGCAUAGCUCAGAGAUGAGUGAAAUCUCUUCGGAGACAUAUAGACAGGUGGUGCAUGGUUGUCGUCAGCUCGUGUCGUGAGAUGUUGGGUUAAGUCCCGCAACGAGCGCAACCCUUACUGUUAGUUGCUACGCAAGAGCACUCUAGCAGGACUGCCGUUGACAAAACGGAGGAAGGUGGGGAUGACGUCAAAUCAUCAUGCCCCUUAUGACCUGGGCCUCACACGUACUACAAUGGCUGUUAACAGAGGGAUGCAAAGCCGCGAGGUGGAGCGAACCCCUAAAAGCAGUCUUAGUUCGGAUUGUAGGCUGCAACCCGCCUACAUGAAGUCGGAAUUGCUAGUAAUCGCAGAUCAGCAUGCUGCGGUGAAUACGUUCCCGGGCCUUGCACACACCGCCCGUCA